This 44-nucleotide non-coding RNA is filed under the name Alexandrium minutum. The record is from RNAcentral. Lineage: Eukaryota; Dinophyceae; Gonyaulacales; Pyrocystaceae.
UAGCCAUUUUGGCUCAAGCAUUUGGAGGGGCAUCUUUCCCUCAU